UACGGAGGGUGCAAACGUUGCUCGGAAUCAUUGGGCGUAAAGCGCACGUAGGCGGCCUAUUAAGUCGGAUGUGAAAGCCCCGGGCUCAACCCGGGAAGUGCAUACGAAACUGGUAGGCUUGAAUAUGGAAGAGGGUCGCGGAAUUCCCGGUGUAGAGGUGAAAUUCGUAGAUAUCGGGAGGAACACCAGUGGCGAAGGCGGUCUGCUGGGCCACUACUGACGCUGAGGUACGAAAGCGUGGGGAGCGAACGGG
Molecule: ribosomal RNA, 253 nt
Filed under: uncultured bacterium
Lineage: Bacteria
Description: partial 16S ribosomal RNA
Rfam family: Bacterial small subunit ribosomal RNA
Source: RNAcentral